RNAcentral lists this long non-coding RNA (777 nucleotides) under Panax ginseng (ginseng). RNAcentral's name for it is "long non-coding RNA (PGIN_LNC015167)". The record is from RNAcentral. Lineage: Eukaryota; Viridiplantae; Streptophyta; Magnoliopsida; Apiales; Araliaceae.
CCAUAUACUAGCAUAACCCAUGUAAAUCCUUUUACUAGGGCAACCCGAUAUACCAAAUAACAACCGGCAAGAAAACCAAAAUCAGACAACAAGAUUUGAACCCGUUCACGUUCGGAAUAAAUAGGACUAUAUGGGUCAAAGUGACUUGCAACCCGAUCAUAUGACCGUCCGGCUAUAUUUACAAUCAAGUAUAAAGGCCAUCCUAGGGUGAGGGUGAAUGUUAUGAUGAAAAUUCGGCCAAGUGGGUUGUUGAAGUGAUGGUAAUAUGAUCGAAUAGUCUCCUUGAAUCGAGGGACAUGGUUUUCAUCGCGAUCUAGGGAAUUGGUAUUAGCAUGGUGACGACGAUGACUAAUUUUCCAAGAGAAAUAAGGAACAAGAAGAAGAGAAUGAAGAAUAAAGCCAACAGUGUCAUUUAGCCAAUGAUAGUCGCUAAAGCCAUGGUGGCCACAUUCAUGGGCUACAACCCAUACGGCGAACAUGAAACAACCUUGGACAUAGACAUAAGCAGUCCAUGCAAGGUAAGAUAGAGGCUUAGGAAGGAGAUGGAUGUAGUUUGUGGCAACAUAGUAGAGGAGGAAGCAAACAAUGAGGUCGUAAACAAGGAAAGAGAAAGAGCGGAUGAGCGAACGGUUGAAACAAUGAGGAGGAAUGGCUUUCUUUACGUCCGCGAGAGUAAAUGGAGGUUUUUCGUGAGGAACUCGGCGGAAAAUGUCGUUUUGAUCAGCUUUCUUGUGCUCACCACCGGUAACAGGCAUACGACCACCUUUACCCAUUGUU